UUCGGCUGGCCGGAACACAGGUGCUGCAUGGCUGUCGUCAGCUCGUGUCGUGAGAUGUUGGGUUAAGUCCCGCAACGAGCGCAACCCUCGCCCCUAGUUGCCAUCAUUCAGUUGGGAACUCUAGGGGACUGCCGGUGAUAAGCCGCGAGGAAGGUGGGGAUGACGUCAAGUCCUCAUGGCCCUUACAGGCUGGGCUACACACGUGCUACAAUGGCGGUGACAAUGGGCAGCGAAAGGGCGACCUCGAGCUAAUCCCAAAAAGCCGUCUCAGUUCAGAUUGCACUCUGCAACUCGGGUGCAUGAAGGUGGAAUCGCUAGUAAUCGUGGAUCAGCAUGCCACGGUGAAUACGUUCCCGGGCCUUGUACACACCGCCCGUCACACCAUGGGAGUUGGGUUUACCCGAAGGCGUCGCGCUAACCGCAAGGAGGCAGGCGACCACG
Molecule: ribosomal RNA, 441 nt
Filed under: uncultured maize root bacterium Zmrc40
Lineage: Bacteria
Description: bacterial SSU rRNA
Rfam family: Bacterial small subunit ribosomal RNA
Source: RNAcentral